CCUACGGGAGGCAGCAGUGGGGAAUAUUGGACAAUGGGGGGAACCCUGAUCCAGCCAUGCCGCGUGUGUGAAGAAGGCCCUCGGGUUGUAAAGCACAUUCAGUGAGGAAGAACGCCUGGUGGUUAAUACCCAUCAGGAAAGACAUCACUCACAGAAGAAGCACCGGCUAACUCCGUGCCAGCAGCCGCGGUAAUACGGAGGGUGCGAGCGUUAAUCGGAAUUACUGGGCGUAAAGCGCGCGUAGGUGGCUUGAUAAGCCGGUUGUGAAAGCCCCGGGCUCAACCUGGGAACGGCAUCCGGAACUGUCAAGCUAGAGUGCAGGAGAGGAAGGUAGAAUUCCCGGUGUAGCGGUGAAAUGCGUAGAGAUCGGGAGGAAUACCAGUGGCGAAGGCGGCCUUCUGGACUGACACUGACACUGAGGUGCGAAAGCGUGGGUAGCAAACAGGAUUAGAUACCCCUGUAGUC
This 465-nucleotide ribosomal RNA is filed under the name Vreelandella stevensii. Its description in RNAcentral is "partial 16S ribosomal RNA". It matches the Rfam family "Bacterial small subunit ribosomal RNA", at positions 338 to 795 of the family's 1533-position model. The record is from RNAcentral. Lineage: Bacteria; Pseudomonadati; Pseudomonadota; Gammaproteobacteria; Oceanospirillales; Halomonadaceae.